This is a long non-coding RNA of Oncorhynchus tshawytscha (Chinook salmon), 1145 nucleotides long. Lineage: Eukaryota; Metazoa; Chordata; Actinopteri; Salmoniformes; Salmonidae. The record is from Ensembl.
CAGGCCGUGUCAGUGGCACUGUAUUGUCCUCAAAGCGGGCAAAAACGGGCAAAAAGUUAUUUAGUCUGCCUGGGAGCAAGACAUCCUGGUCCGUGACUGGGCUGGGUUUCUUCCUGUAGUCCGUGAUUGACUGUAGACCCUGCCACAUACCUCUUGUGUCUGAGCCGUUGAAUUGAGAUUCUACUUUGUCUCUGUACUGGCGCUUAGCUUGUUUGAUAGCCUUGCGGAGGGAAUAGCUGCACUGUUUGUAUUCAGUCAUGUUACCAGACACCUUGCCCUGAUUAAAAGCAGUGGUUCGUGCCUUCAGUUUCACACGAAUGCUGCCAUCAAUCCACGGUUUCUGGUUAGGGAAUGUUUUAAUCGUUGCUAUGGGAACGACAUCUUCAACGCACGUUCUAAUGAACUCGCACACCGUAUCAGCGUAUUCGUCAAUGUUGUUGUCUGACGCAAUACGAAACAUCUCCCAGUCCACGUGAUGGAAGCAGUCUUGGAGUGUGGAGUCAGCUUGGUCGGACCAGCGUUGGACAGACCUCAGCGUGGGAGCUUCUUGUUUUAGUUUCUGUCUGUAGGCAGGGAUCAACAAAAUGGAGUCGUGGUCAGCUUUUCCGAAAGGGGGCGGGGCAGGGCCUUAUAUGCGUCGCGGAAGUUAGAGUAACAAUGAUCCAGGGUCUUUCCACCCCUGGUUGCGCAAUCGAUAUGCUGAUAAAAUUUAGGGAGUCUUGUUUUCAGAUUAGCCUUGUUAAAAUCCCCAGCUACAAAUGAAUGCAGCCUCCGGAUAAAUCGUUUCCAGUUUGCAGAGAGUUAAAUAAAGUUCGUUCAGAGCCAUCGAUGUGUCUGCUUGGGGGGGGAUAUAUACGGCUGUGAUUAUAAUCGAAGAGAAUUCUCUUGGUAGAUAAUGCGGUCUACAUUUGAUUGUGAGGAAUUCUAAAUCAGGUGAACAGAAGGAUUUGAGUUCCUGUAUGUUUCUUUCAUCACACCAUGUCACGUUGGCCAUAAGGCAUACGCCCCCGCCCCUCUUCUUACCAGAAAGAAGUUUGUCUCUGUCGGCGCGAUGCGUGGAGAAACCCGCUGGCUGCACCGCUUCGGAUAGCGUCUCUCCAGUGAGCCAUGUUUCCGUGAAGCAAAGAACGUUACAGUCUCUGAUG